Molecule: ribosomal RNA, 302 nt
Filed under: Xenorhabdus cabanillasii
Lineage: Bacteria; Pseudomonadati; Pseudomonadota; Gammaproteobacteria; Enterobacterales; Morganellaceae
Also listed under: 2 other names
Description: partial 23S ribosomal RNA
Rfam family: Bacterial large subunit ribosomal RNA
Source: RNAcentral
AGACAGUUCGGUCCCUAUCCGUCGUGGGCGUAGGAAAUUUGAGAGGAGCUGUCCUUAGUACGAGAGGACCGGGAUGGACGCACCGCUGGUGUACCAGUUGUUCUGCCAAGGGCAUAGCUGGGUAGCUAUGUGCGGAAGGGAUAAGUGCUGAAAGCAUCUAAGCAUGAAGCCCCCCUCAAGAUGAGAUUUCCCAUAGCGUAAGCUAGUAAGAUCCCUGAAAGAUGAUCAGGUUGAUAGGUUCGAGGUGGAAGCAUGGUGACAUGUGGAGCUGACGAAUACUAAUAGAUCGAGGACUUAACCAU